AGCCUUCGGGUGAGUAAAGCGGCGAACGGGUGAGUAACACGUAACCAACCUGCCCCCGAGAUCGGGAUAACCGUUGGAAACGACGGCUAAUACCGAAUGGUCCCAAGAGCCGGCAUCGGCACUUGGGUAAACGGUUUCGACUGCUCGGGGAGGGGGUUGCGGCCUAUCAGCUUGUUGGUGGGGUAACGGCCUACCAAGGCGAUGACGGGUAGCGGGUCUGAGAGGAUGAUCCGUCACACUGGGACUGAGACACUGCCCAGACUCCUACGGGAGGCUGCAGUCGAGAAUCUUCCGCAAUGGGCGAAAGCCUGACGGAGCGACGCCGCGUGCAGGAUGAAGGCCUUCGGGUUGUAAACUGCUGUCACGCUAUAGGAAAAGCCUUCGGGCCGUGACCAAAGCGAGAGGAAGCACCGGCUAACUCCGUGCCAGCAGCCGCGGUAAGACGGAGGGUGCAAACGUUGCUCGGAAUCACUGGGCAUAAAGCGCACGUAGGCGGCUAUCUCAGUUGGAUGUGAAAGCCCCCGGCUCAACCGGGGAAUUGCGUCCAAUACUGGAUGGCUCGAGGACGGUAGGGGUGAGUGGAACUCCAGGUGGAGCGGUGAAAUGCGUAGAUAUCUGGAGGAACACCGGUGGCGAAAGCGGCUCACUGG
RNAcentral lists this ribosomal RNA (650 nucleotides) under uncultured marine bacterium. RNAcentral's name for it is "bacterial SSU rRNA". It matches the Rfam family "Bacterial small subunit ribosomal RNA", at positions 75 to 732 of the family's 1533-position model. The record is from RNAcentral.